GGGCCCGCACAAGCGGUGGAGUAUGUGGUUUAAUUCGAUGCAACGCGAAGAACCUUACCAGGGUUUGACAUCCUGCGAAUCUCUUGGAAACGAGAAGGAUUCGCUUUCGGGGAAACGCAGUGACAGGUGGUGCAUGGCUGUCGUCAGCUCGUGUCGUGAGAUGUUGGGUUAAGUCCCGCAACGAGCGCAACCCACGUCUUUAGUUGCCAGCAUUCAGUUGGGCACUCUAGAGAGACCGCCGGUGAUAAACCGGAGAAGGUGUGGAUGACGUCAAGUCAUCAUGCCCCUUACAUCUGGGCUACACACGUACUACAAUGCUACGGACAAAGGGCAGCAAGUUCGCGAGGACAAGCAAAAUCCCCAUAAAACGUGGCUC
This 376-nucleotide ribosomal RNA is filed under the name uncultured bacterium. RNAcentral describes it as "bacterial SSU rRNA". It matches the Rfam family "Bacterial small subunit ribosomal RNA", at positions 917 to 1289 of the family's 1533-position model. The record is from RNAcentral.